This 713-nucleotide ribosomal RNA is filed under the name uncultured bacterium. RNAcentral's name for it is "bacterial SSU rRNA". It matches the Rfam family "Bacterial small subunit ribosomal RNA", at positions 789 to 1501 of the family's 1533-position model. The record is from RNAcentral.
GGUAGUCCACGCCGUAAACGAUGCGAACUGGAUGUUGGGUGCAAUUUGGCACGCAGUAUCGAAGCUAACGCGUUAAGUCGACCGCCUGGGGAGUACGGCCGCAAGGUUAAAACUCAAAUGAAUUGACGGGGGCCCGCACAAGCGGUGGAGCAUGUGGUUUAAUUCGAUGCAACGCGAAGAACCUUACCUGGUCUUGACAUCCACAGAACUUGGCAGAGAUGCCUUGGUGCCUUCGGGAACUGUGAGACAGGUGCUGCAUGGCUGUCGUCAGCUCGUGUUGUGAAAUGUUGGGUUAAGUCCCGCAACGAGCGCAACCCUUAUCCUUUGUUGCCAGCGGUCCGGCCGGGAACUCAAAGGAGACUGCCAGUGAUAAACUGGAGGAAGGUGGGGAUGACGUCAAGUCAUCAUGGCCCUUACGACCAGGGCUACACACGUGCUACAAUGGCGCAUACAAAGAGAAGCAAUCUCGCGAGAGCUAGCGGACCUCAUAAAGUGCGUCGUAGUCCGGAUUGGAGUCUGCAACUCGACUCCAUGAAGUCGGAAUCGCUAGUAAUCGUGAAUCAGAAUGUCACGGUGAAUACGUUCCCGGGCCUUGUACACACCGCCCGUCACACCAUGGGAGUGGGUUGCAAAAGAAGUAGGUAGCUUAACCUUCGGGAGGGCGCUUACCACUUUGUGAUUCAUGACUGGGGUGAAGUCGUAACAAGGUAACC